Molecule: ribosomal RNA, 853 nt
Filed under: Thelohanellus wuhanensis
Lineage: Eukaryota; Metazoa; Cnidaria; Myxozoa; Bivalvulida; Myxobolidae
Description: SSU rRNA
Rfam family: Eukaryotic small subunit ribosomal RNA
Source: RNAcentral
ACCCACUUCUGUGGCCUUUCGGUAGCUGUCGGCAGUAGAUGCCAACGCUGAGCACUGUUAGUUGCACGUGAGAUGAAUUGUUGGCCUUUAUUGAGCCGGUAUUCUCGUCUUGCGGAGUGUGCCUUGAAUAAAACAGAGUGCUUAAAGCAGGUCAUUGCCUGAAUGUUAUAGCAUGGAACGAACAAUCGUGUAUAUGUAUGCAUCCUUGAAUGGUGAUGAGCCUUAGGUUUGUUGUUACUCAGGAUGCAUACGGCACCCACCAAAAUAUGGCUGUUGGUUCCAUAUACGGUGAUGAUUAAAAGGAGCGGUUGGGGGCAUCGGUAUUUGGCCGCGAGAGGUGAAAUUCUUAGACCGGCCAAGGACUAACAAAUGCAAAGGCACUUGUCUAGACCGUUUCCAUUAAUCAAGAACGAAAGUGGGAGGUUCGAAGACGAUCAGAUACCGUCCUAGUUCCCACUGUAAACUAUGCCGACCUGGGAUCAGUUUAGAGAUGUUACAAGCUCUAGAUUGGUCCCCCUGGGAAACCUGAAGUUUUUCGGUUACGGGGAGAGUAUGGUCGCAAGGCUGAAACUUAAAGGAAUUGACGGAAGGGCACCACCAGGGGUGGAGCCUGCGGCUUAAUUUGACUCAACACGGGGAAACUUACCUGGUCCGGACAUCGAUAGGAUUAACAGAUCGAUAGCUCUUUUAUGAUGCGAUGAGUGGUGGUGCAUGGCCGUUCUUAGUUCGUGGAGUGAUCUGUCGGCCUAAUUGCGGUAACGAACGAGACCAUAGUCUCCAUUUAAGAAAUAGAAGCAGACGAAGGGCGGCGUGAAUCGCAAGAUUCAACUCGUCCAGCGUUGUAGGUCGGAUU